GCCCUCAUAGCUCAAUUGGAUAGAGCACAAGCCUCCGGAGCUUGUUGUCCCCGUUCAAUUCGGGGUGAGGGCA
Molecule: transfer RNA, 73 nt
Filed under: Elusimicrobiota bacterium
Lineage: Bacteria; Pseudomonadati; Elusimicrobiota
Description: Elusimicrobia bacterium (hot springs metagenome) tRNA-Arg
Rfam family: tRNA
About the family: Transfer RNA (tRNA) molecules are approximately 80 nucleotides in length.
Source: RNAcentral